Molecule: non-coding RNA, 158 nt
Filed under: Dethiosulfovibrio salsuginis
Lineage: Bacteria; Thermotogati; Synergistota; Synergistia; Synergistales; Dethiosulfovibrionaceae
Description: GlcN6P sequence
Rfam family: glmS glucosamine-6-phosphate activated ribozyme aptamer
About the family: This entry contains a glucosamine-6-phosphate activated ribozyme that is found in the mRNA for GlmS.
Source: RNAcentral
GCGUCUAUGUAAGCGCCUGAACUGGAGCGAUCCAGUUGACGAGGACAGGGGAUUAUCGAUCUAUCGGCGGAUGCCCCUGGGGAGCUUGGGAACUCCCUGAAUUCAGGUCACAAAGCCCGCAGGCGACUGUGGGGACAAAAUGCCUGGUGUUUCCCGAA